Molecule: ribosomal RNA, 253 nt
Filed under: uncultured bacterium
Lineage: Bacteria
Description: partial 16S ribosomal RNA
Rfam family: Bacterial small subunit ribosomal RNA
Source: RNAcentral
UACAGAGGUGGCAAGCGUUGUUCGGAAUUACUGGGCGUAAAGGGCGAGUAGGCGGCCUUCUAAGUCAGACGUGAAAUCCCCCGGCUUAACCUGGGAACUGCGUCUGAUACUGGGAGGCUUGAGUAUGGGAGAGGGAUGUAGAAUUCCAGGUGUAGCGGUGAAAUGCGUGGAUAUCUGGAGGAAUACCGGUGGCGAAGGCGGCAUCCUGGACCAUUACUGACGCUGAAUCGCGAAAGCUAGGGGAGCAAACGGG